RNAcentral lists this transfer RNA (68 nucleotides) under Dromaeolus sp. ZM-2022. RNAcentral describes it as "tRNA-Met". It matches the Rfam family "tRNA". Rfam says of the family: Transfer RNA (tRNA) molecules are approximately 80 nucleotides in length. Their secondary structure includes four short double-helical elements and three loops (D, anti-codon, and T loops). Lineage: Eukaryota; Metazoa; Arthropoda; Insecta; Coleoptera; Eucnemidae. The record is from RNAcentral.
AAAAAGAUAAGUUAAUUAAACUACUGGGUUCAUACCUCACCUAUAAAGGUAAAAUCCUUUUCUUUUUA